GAUGAAGAACGCAGCGAAAUGCGAUACUUGGUGUGAAUUGCAGAAUCCCGCGAAUCAUCGAGUUUUUGAACGCAAGUUGCGCCCGAAGCCAUUCGGCCGAGGGCACGUCUGCCUGGGUGUCACGCAUCGUUGCCCCCCCCAAACUUCGGUUCGGGCGGGGCGGAAGUUGGCCUCCCGUGCGUGCCUGCGCGCGCGGUUAGCCCAAAAGCGAGUCCUCGGCGACGAGCGCCACGACAAUCGGUGGUUUUUUUACCCUCGUUCCUCGUCGUGCGUGCCCCGUCGCCCGAACGCGCUCUUGCGACCCUCACGCGUCGCCUCGGCGGCGCUCCCAACGCGACCCCAGGUCAGGCGGGACUACCCGCUGAGUUUAAGCAUAUCAAUAAGCGGAGGA
Molecule: unclassified non-coding RNA, 391 nt
Filed under: soil metagenome
Description: partial contains 5.8S ribosomal RNA, internal transcribed spacer 2, and large subunit ribosomal RNA
Rfam family: 5.8S ribosomal RNA (bases 1-122)
Source: RNAcentral